Molecule: ribosomal RNA, 454 nt
Filed under: uncultured bacterium
Lineage: Bacteria
Description: bacterial SSU rRNA
Rfam family: Bacterial small subunit ribosomal RNA
Source: RNAcentral
AGAGUUUGAUCCUGGCUCAGAACGAACGCUGGCGGCAGGCUUAACACAUGCAAGUCGAACGGUUGUAGCAAUACAGCAGUGGCAGACGGGUGAGUAACACGUGGGAACCUUCCUAGGGGUACGGAACAACUCAGGGAAACUUGAGCUAAUACCGUAUACGUCCGUGAGGAGAAAGAUUUAUCGCCCUUAGACGGGCCCGCGUCGGAUUAGCUAGUUGUGGGGUAACGGCCUACCAAGGCGACGAUCCGUAGCUGAUCUUAGAGGAUGAUCAGCCACACUGGGACUGAGACACGGCCCAGACUCCUACGGGAGGCAGCAGUGGGGAAUCUUGGACAAUGGGCGCAAGCCUGAUCCAGCCAUGCCGCGUGAGUGAAGAAGGUCUUCGGAUUGUAAAGCUCUUUUGCCAGGGACGAUAAUGACGGUACCUGGAGAAUAAGCCCCGGCAAACUUCGUG